This is a long non-coding RNA of Wyeomyia smithii (pitcher-plant mosquito), 1384 nucleotides long. RefSeq lists it as uncharacterized. Lineage: Eukaryota; Metazoa; Arthropoda; Insecta; Diptera; Culicidae. The record is from RefSeq and is a predicted model, not a curated record. The transcript is spliced from 2 exons.
CGCCUACUCGUGGGGACUUCCCGGUGGCCAUCGCUAGCGUAGAAGGGUCGCGAGUUUUGAAGAACCCUCCGUCGCGAGCUUUCCCACCUUUUGUAUGUUUUAGUUCGCGCCCGAGUGUCCGGUAUCGGUUCGUUUUGUUUCGGAAUCCCACCGCCACCUGUGCCUGCCGUCCCCCGGGCCAGGGGGUUGGCAAUCAGGCUGGCGGUCCGAAGGCCCACAGAACGGAACGGCUGGGCGGUCCACAACACCCCACCCCUGGUGCACGGAGGCGCAGCGGCUAAAACUUACGAACGAUCAGCGUGGAGAAACACAUUAUUAUAGCAGCAGCCAAAGCUUGUUACUACUAAUGAAAGAAUUCUAAAAAGCAGUUUUUUGAAUGCCCUCAAGUCACAAAAGAGAAUUUGAUUUCCUCGUGAGGGAUGAUUAUCGCUCGGUUUCGCGCGGGUUCGCUCCGGCAUCGCCUUCUCCGGUCAGCGCGGAAGGGACCGAUCGACCGGUCGAACCUCCGGUUGCCGACGGGACUUCAGCAUGAAUUUGGAAUACGGGUGCUAGUGAAGUGGAACCAACCGGUGAAGAGGCCCCUAUGCAGUGAAUAGUGUGUUGGUGUUCGAUACCAAUUCGAAACUGAAUGUGCUCGAGAAUUAAUUACGCUUUGAGUGUAUUUUGUUUUGGAAGAAUCUAAUAGGAACUGACCCAUAAAUUGUGUAAAGAAAGGUCCUAAUGUGGUGCACUGGAAACUAAAAAGCUGAAUCGAUUUGUGCCAACCAAAAAAAAAACGUACUUGUGUGGAAAAUUUUGUGCCACCCAUUUUGCGAUUUCGCAACGCCCCCAAACCACUCACACUCGGGAAGGUGGAGCAUCGGAUGGGCAAACGGGAGUAGCAGUAAAAAAAAAUCGAUUCAUAUUUUGCGGAGCAGCUCGACCUCAAUAGGCUUUAAAUUGGAUACGUAAAAUGUGCGCGAUGAAAAAUUCCACAGUAGCUGGAAAAUAACACAAAUCCUAGCUAGGAAUUAAUGAAUUACGGAAUAAAGGAUCGUGGUUUAAUAAUUAUAGAACAGCACAGUUUUGUGAAAAACGUUCGGACUCUAUUUGGAUUGAUGUGAUAAAAAUCACACUUUUCUUUAUUUAUGACAAAAGGACAAAUCUUGUGCAAUUCUGUAGUGUGUAAUGAGGAAGAUUUUUGGCCAUUUAUAACGCAUUUUUAUUUGCAAGUUAUUUAUUAUUAUUUUAUAGUUUUCAUGUCGUGAGUGCAUCGCAGAUUAACUCUUCAGAAUGAAAGGAAUGCAGAAUUCGUUAAACUGCAACGAUUGCAACAUAUGUUUGCUUCAACGUUAACCUAGGUUCUAAUUAGAAUUUAAAAUUAAACACUAGACUGAAACUCGAA